AGGACUAACGCUGGCGGCGUGCCUAACACAUGCAAGUCGAACGAGGGGUAGCAAUACCCCUAGUGGCAGACGGGUGAGUAACACGUAGUCAACCUACCUCUUAAUGGGGGAUAACUAGCCGAAAGGUUAGCUAAUACCGCAUACGAUCGUCGAGUGGCAUCACACGACGAUGAAAGGAGCAAUCCGUUGAGAGAGGGGACUGCGUCCCAUUAGUUAGUUGGUGGGGUAAUGGCCUACCAAGACUCCGAUGGGUAGCUGGCUUGAGAGAGCGACCAGCCACACUGGAACUGAGACACGGUCCAGACUCCUACGGGAGGCAGCAGUGAGGAAUUUUCCGCAAUGGGGGAAACCCUGACGGAGCGACGCCGCGUGUGGGAAGAAGGCCUUCGGGUCGUAAACCACUGUCGAGGGGGACGAUAUUGACGGUACCCUGGAGGAAGCCCCGGCUAACUACGCGCCAGCAGCCGC
This 468-nucleotide ribosomal RNA is filed under the name uncultured bacterium. Its description in RNAcentral is "SSU rRNA". It matches the Rfam family "Bacterial small subunit ribosomal RNA", at positions 26 to 518 of the family's 1533-position model. The record is from RNAcentral.